CUCUCUCUCUCACCCCAACUGGUCGAGACAGAUGACCACCCACCUAGAGCCGAAGGAUCUGUCCUAGGUUUCUGCCUUUUAACAGGCAGUUUUUCCUUGCCCUUGUUGCCAAGUGCUUGCUCAUGGUGGUACUGUUGGGUCUCUGUAAUUAAUGUUUUAAAGAGUUUGGUCUAGACCUGCUCUAUUUGAAAAGUGUCCUGAGAUAACUUCUGUUAUGAAUUGGCGCUAUACAAAUAAAAUUGAAUUGAAUUGAAUUGUUGUGCUCCUUCAAAACCAUUCCUGAACCAUUUUUGCUUUGUGGCAUGGUGCAUUAUCCUGCUGAAAGAGGCCACUGCCAUCAGAGAAUACAAUUUGGUAAAUGGAACUGUACUUGUAUAGCGUCUUUCUAGUCUUCCGACCACUUUUACACUACGUGCCAUAUUCACCCUUUCACACACAUUCACUCAGCGAUGCACAGCAUCUGUCAUGGCUCUGCUCCCCUCCUGCUCCCUUUGCUCCUCCCCCUUCCCUGUGUGUCUGAGGGUGCGGCCUCCAUUCUCCUCACCUGCUGCCUGCUGUCUCACCUGCUCUCAAUCAUUCAUCAUUCCUCAGUCUUCAAGAACCCCGGUCUUCCUCCCAUUCAUCGCCAGAUUGUUUCAGCCUAUGUGGUGGGUCCCUUUGUGCAGUUUGGCUUCCUGUGUCCGCUCACCUGUGCCUCUGUGUCUCCGGUCUCUUCCGCCAUCUCACCCACCCGUUCCUGCUGUGGCCGCCCCUCAUCCCCCCUGCGUGUGUGUGUGUGCGUGGAAUAAAACCCCCUUUAAACCUUC
Molecule: long non-coding RNA, 806 nt
Organism: Dicentrarchus labrax (European seabass)
Lineage: Eukaryota; Metazoa; Chordata; Actinopteri; Moronidae
Exons: 2
Source: RefSeq, a predicted model, not a curated record